ACGGGUGAGUAACACGUGAGCAACCUGCCCUGGACUCUGGGAUAAGCGCUGAAAACGGUGUCUAAUACUGGAUAUGAGCCUCUAUCGCAUGGUGGGGGUUGGAAAGAUUUUUCGGUCUGGGAUGGGCUCGCGGCCUAUCAGCUUGUUGGUGAGGUAAUGGCUCACCAAGGCGUCGACGGGUAGCCGGCCUGAGAGGGUGACCGGCCACACUGGGACUGAGACACGGCCCAGACUCCUACGGGAGGCAGCAGUGGGGAAUAUUGCACAAUGGGCGGAAGCCUGAUGCAGCAACGCCGCGUGAGGGAUGACGGCCUUCGGGUUGUAAACCUCUUUUAGCAGGGAAGAAGCGAAAGUGACGGUACCUGCAGAAAAAGCGCCGGCUAACUACGUGCCAGCAGCCGCGGUAAUACGUAGGGCGCAAGCGUUAUCCGGAAUUAUUGGGCGUAAAGAGCUCGUAGGCGGUUUGUCGCGUCUGCUGUGAAAUCCCGAGGCUCAACCUCGGGUCUGCAGUGGGUACGGGCAGACUAGAGUGCGGUAGGGGAGAUUGGAAUUCCUGGUGUAGCGGUGGAAUGCGCAGA
This 578-nucleotide ribosomal RNA is filed under the name uncultured bacterium. RNAcentral describes it as "bacterial SSU rRNA". It matches the Rfam family "Bacterial small subunit ribosomal RNA", at positions 102 to 694 of the family's 1533-position model. The record is from RNAcentral.